RNAcentral lists this ribosomal RNA (750 nucleotides) under uncultured Glomeromycotina. Its description in RNAcentral is "SSU rRNA". It matches the Rfam family "Eukaryotic small subunit ribosomal RNA", at positions 338 to 1092 of the family's 1831-position model. The record is from RNAcentral. Lineage: Eukaryota; Fungi; Glomeromycota.
GGCCUACCAUGGUUUUAACGGGUAACGGGGAAUUAGGGUUCGAUUCCGGAGAGGGAGCCUGAGAAACGGCUACCACAUCCAAGGAAGGCAGCAGGCGCGCAAAUUACCCAAUCCCGACACGGGGAGGUAGUGACAAUAAAUAACAAUACAGGGCUCUUACGGGUCUUGUAAUUGGAAUGAGUACAAUUUAAAUCCCUUAACGAGGAACAAUUGGAGGGCAAGUCUGGUGCCAGCAGCCGCGGUAAUUCCAGCUCCAAUAGCGUAUAUUAAAGUUGUUGCAGUUAAAAAGCUCGUAGUUGAAUUUCGGGAUUCUACCGUUGGUCGGGCUAACAAGUCUGUACUGGUGUGUAGAAUUUCUACCUUCUGGGGAACUAUCAUGUUAUUAAUUUAGCGUGGUGGGAAACCAGGACCUUUACCUUGAAAAAAUUAGAGUGUUCAAAGCAGGCUUACGUCUGAAUACAUUAGCAUGGAAUAAUAGAAUAGGACGGUGGUCCUGUUUUGUUGGUUUCUGAAUCACCGUAAUGAUUAAUAGGGAUAGUUGGGGGCAUUAGUAUUCAAUUGUCAGAGGUGAAAUUCUUGGAUUUAUUGAAGACUAACUUUUGCGAAAGCAUUUGCCAAGGAUGUUUUCAUUAAUCAAGAACGAAAGUUAGGGGAUCGAAGACGAUCAGAUACCGUCGUAGUCCUAACCAUAAACUAUGCCGACUAGGGAUCGGACGAUGUUAAUUUUAUUGACUCGUUCGGCGCCUUACG